UUGUGUGUGCGCACUGCCAUACUCUCUCUGCAUACCUUAUUAGUCUCCGUGUCUGCUAAGUGCAAUCCUUAGUAUUAACUCAGAAAAUAUAGAAUUGAUUUUUUUCGCCCAGCAGCCCUGAUCUAAGGGCUCGUAAUUUGAAAUCUGAAAACCUGGGCCUGAGGAAGUCGUUCUGCGGUGACUCUACACUUCCUUGAACAAUAUCAAUGGUCGAAAAAUUCGAAAUUCAAGCAUCUCGACACUUUCUCUGUUUUGGAAGAAAAAUUGGAAGGUCUUGAACAGAGUCGUCGUCGGAGCAGGACAUCAGACAAACAGGGCAUCUGCAUUCCUCUCGCCACCCACCUUCCUGUGAUGAGCAACUUGAGGACCAAACAAUCACGGCCGACUCCCCUCCGUUCUGAUAAGGCCCUGAACCAGACAGGCCCACUUGAGCUGGAGAAACAAUGGCCUGUGGCGGAUCCUAUGCCUCAGUGAGAAACAACAAUGCAGGCCUCUUGACGGAUUCUGGCGUCGCGAGUGGGAGCUUGCAGUUCGCCAUGUCUGCUGAGCAGAAGUUGGAAGAAGAAAAGAUCAUCUUGUAAACAAUUAAUUAAUGUUUGUCAUGAAUUAUCAUUUUUACUUCCUUCUCGAGAGGCUCAAAGGGAAUAAAAAGGCAUUUUUGCAGGUGGUGGCAUUCAAAGUAAGGGCAAUCAAAGGUUUGAGAGCCGAGGCACAGCACUCCGAGUCUCUAAGGGUGAAUGGUGCUAGGAUUAGAGCGCAGCAGGGGGUUGAGGGCUUCAGGUGUGAAGCUUAAUGUUUGUGAUCAGCAAAAAAAGUCUCGAAUUUAUCUAAACUGCUCUUCUGCUAACAGUACUUCUAGCACAUAAAUGUUCUGAAACUGACAAGUGUUCUCAUUGCUCUUCUAAUGCAAACAUGAUCUGCAUUUGAAAGAUGCAUCCCUUUCGCCUAAUUUAGAAUGUGCAUCACAAAGAGCGUUAGAUGAUGACCCCACGAAGAGACACAAAACACCUUCUCUCUUUCUCUCUCUCUCUCUCCCUCUCUCUCUCUCUCUCUCUCUCUCUCUCUCUCUCUCUCUCUCUCUCAGCAUGCUGCAUGCAUAUGCACACAUGCAAACUGUAUCCUUCUUGCAUGGAUCUCCUUUGAAGUACCUAGCAAGGAUCUGGUGUGACUGAUUCUUUUCUUCCUUUCUAGAUUUCUAGACCCUCAAAUUAGAUGACUAAUCAAUCAUCUUGUCCAUGAGGUCUAAAUUUUUCAUUUAAUUUGGUUAAUUGCCUAGAGUUUGUUAUCCUAACUUUUAAUUUGACCAACUUUUUCCUGUCCACUUUCUAUCAGUAGCAGUAUGUUGAAGGUAUCUGACUCAUUCAAAAAUUUAAAAUAUAUACCAUGCCUAAGAUGUUAAAAUUUCCUAAAGAACUCAGAGCAAUGUAUGUGACUGCCUAGAACUAGUGAUGUAGGCAGGUACUGCCAGUGCCUUUAAGGUUGCUAUAGUCCAUAGAAACACAUCUUGCUACUUUCUAGCUCCCUCUUCAGAAUUUACUACUGAGCUCCACUCCUUUUGUCUCUGUAUUAUAAACCAACAUCAUUCACUUCCUGAACCCCAAAAAGAAAAAUAAAAUAUGACGUAAAAUGUU
Myodes glareolus (Bank vole) is the source of this 1631-nucleotide non-coding RNA. NCBI's taxonomy places the organism in Eukaryota, Metazoa, Chordata, Mammalia, Rodentia, Cricetidae. The record is from RefSeq and is a predicted model, not a curated record.